GACAGAGGGUGCAAACGUUGUUCGGAAUUACUGGGCGUAAAGGGCGCGUAGGCGGUCUUGUAAGUCCUGUGUGAAAUCCCUCGGCUCAACCGAGGAACUGCACAGGAAACUGUGAGACUUGAGUUCGGGAGAGGGAAGCGGAAUUCCGGGUGUAGCGGUGAAAUGCGUAGAUAUCCGGAGGAACACCGGUGGCGAAGGCGGCUUCCUGGACCGACACUGACGCUGAGGCGCGAAAGCCAGGGGAGCAAACGGG
Molecule: ribosomal RNA, 253 nt
Filed under: uncultured bacterium
Lineage: Bacteria
Description: partial 16S ribosomal RNA
Rfam family: Bacterial small subunit ribosomal RNA
Source: RNAcentral